UAUGGAAUAAAAUUAUGCAGC
RNAcentral lists this non-coding RNA (21 nucleotides) under Caenorhabditis elegans. The record is from RNAcentral. Lineage: Eukaryota; Metazoa; Nematoda; Chromadorea; Rhabditida; Rhabditidae.